Molecule: long non-coding RNA, 376 nt
Organism: Neofelis nebulosa (Clouded leopard)
Lineage: Eukaryota; Metazoa; Chordata; Mammalia; Carnivora; Felidae
Exons: 4
Source: RefSeq, a predicted model, not a curated record
GGCAGACUCCGCCCUCCAAGCCAGUGGAAUAUGUGUCAGACCCCAACCACCUGCAGAGUUUCCAGCGUGAAGGGAGCUCCCCUUCUAAGCAAGCAACUGCUUGGAGAUGAUCCAUUUUUGGAAACAUCCACAUUCAGUGACCCAACUGCAUUGCUAAAAUACCUGAACCAGUAAAAGGUCAUUCUGUUUUUGUCCACUGGUUUCCUGCAAUCGUCAGCCAGAAUUCAAGCUUAUAUUGGAAUAUAAAGUCUACACACCCGUAUUACUCUGUUUGAAAUAAUGAAUAAUUCAAAGAUAAUAAAUAUAUUAUCUUUCCAUGAGAUGGGCACAGAAUACAUGUUGGUACCAUACUGCUAUCUUCAACAUACAACUCUGA